Molecule: ribosomal RNA, 498 nt
Filed under: uncultured bacterium
Lineage: Bacteria
Description: partial 16S ribosomal RNA
Rfam family: Bacterial small subunit ribosomal RNA
Source: RNAcentral
AUGAACGCUGGCGGCGUGCCUAAUCCAUGCCAGUCGAGCGAACAGACGAGAGUGCUUGCACUCUCUGACGUUAGCGGCGGACGGGUGAGUAACACGUGGGUAACCUACCUAUAAGACUGGGAUAACUUCGGGAAACCGGAGCUAAUACCGGAUAAUAUUUAGCUUCGCAUGAAGCAAUAGUGAAAGACGGUUCUGCUGUCACUUAUAGAUGGACCCGCGGUGUAUUAGCUAGUUGGUGAGGUAACGGCUCACCAAGGCAACGAUACAUAGCCGACCUGAGAGGGUGAUCGGCCACACUGGGACUGAGACACGGCCCAGACUCCUACGGGAGGCAGCAGUAGGGAAUCUUCCGCAAUGGACGAAAGUCUGACGGAGCAAUGCCGCGUGAGUGAAGAAGGUUUUCGGAUCGUAAAACUCUGUUGUAAGGGAAGAACAAGUACGUUAGUAACUGAACGUACCUUGACGGUACCUUACCAGAAAGCCACGGCUAACUACGUG